GGCGGCGUAGCUUAGCUGGUUAGAGCGGCCGGUUCAUACCCGGCAGGUCAUAGAUUCGAAUUCUAUCGCCGCCACCA
Molecule: transfer RNA, 77 nt
Filed under: Clostridia bacterium
Lineage: Bacteria; Bacillati; Bacillota; Clostridia
Description: tRNA-Met
Rfam family: tRNA
About the family: Transfer RNA (tRNA) molecules are approximately 80 nucleotides in length. Their secondary structure includes four short double-helical elements and three loops (D, anti-codon, and T loops).
Source: RNAcentral